RNAcentral lists this ribosomal RNA (910 nucleotides) under uncultured bacterium. RNAcentral describes it as "bacterial SSU rRNA". It matches the Rfam family "Bacterial small subunit ribosomal RNA", at positions 548 to 1457 of the family's 1533-position model. The record is from RNAcentral.
GAAUUACUGGGCGUAAAGCGCACGCAGGCGGUUUGUUAAGUCAGAUGUGAAAUCCCCGCGCUUAACGUGGGAACUGCAUUUGAAACUGGCAAGCUAGAGUCUUGUAGAGGGGGGUAGAAUUCCAGGUGUAGCGGUGAAAUGCGUAGAGAUCUGGAGGAAUACCGGUGGCGAAGGCGGCCCCCUGGACAAAGACUGACGCUCAGGUGCGAAAGCGUGGGGAGCAAACAGGAUUAGAUACCCUGGUAGUCCACGCUGUAAACGAUGUCUACUUGGAGGUUGUGCCCUUGAGGCGUGGCUUCCGGAGCUAACGCGUUAAGUCGACCGCCUGGGGAGUACGGCCGCAAGGUUAAAACUCAAAUGAAUUGACGGGGGCCCGCACAAGCGGUGGAGCAUGUGGUUUAAUUCGAUGCAACGCGAAGAACCUUACCUACUCUUGACAUCCACGGAAUUCGCCAGAGAUGGCUUAGUGCCUUCGGGAACCGUGAGACAGGUGCUGCAUGGCUGUCGUCAGCUCGUGUUGUGAAAUGUUGGGUUAAGUCCCGCAACGAGCGCAACCCUUAUCCUUUGUUGCCAGCACGUAAUGGUGGGAACUCAAAGGAGACUGCCGGUGAUAAACCGGAGGAAGGUGAGGAUGACGUCAAGUCAUCAUGGCCCUUACGAGUAGGGCUACACACGUGCUACAAUGGCAUAUACAAAGAGAAGCGAACUCGCGAGAGCAAGCGGACCUCAUAAAGUAUGUCGUAGUCCGGAUUGGAGUCUGCAACUCGACUCCAUGAAGUCGGAAUCGCUAGUAAUCGUAGAUCAGAAUGCUACGGUGAAUACGUUCCCGGGCCUUGUACACACCGCCCGUCACACCAUGGGAGUGGGUUGCAAAAGAAGUAGGUAGCUUAACCUUCGGGAGGGCCCUUAC